Molecule: ribosomal RNA, 253 nt
Filed under: uncultured bacterium
Lineage: Bacteria
Description: partial 16S ribosomal RNA
Rfam family: Bacterial small subunit ribosomal RNA
Source: RNAcentral
UACAGAGGGGGCAAGCGUUAUUCGGAAUUACUGGGCGUAAAGCGCGCGUAGGCGGACCUGCAAGUCGGGGGUGAAAGCCCGAGGCUCAACCUCGGAACUGCCUUCGAUACUGCGGGUCUCGAGUCCGGGAGAGGUGAGUGGAAUUCCUAGUGUAGAGGUGAAAUUCGUAGAUAUUAGGAAGAACACCAGUGGCGAAGGCGGCUCACUGGCCCGGUACUGACGCUGAGGCGCGAAAGCGUGGGGAGCGAUCCGG